This is a non-coding RNA of Salvelinus sp. IW2-2015, 364 nucleotides long. Lineage: Eukaryota; Metazoa; Chordata; Actinopteri; Salmoniformes; Salmonidae. The record is from RefSeq and is a predicted model, not a curated record.
UCUACACCCUGUUUCCCCUUCUAGAACGUGGGUCGGUUCACUUUGUUUUAAGAUCAGUGUUUUGGAUUUUUAAAGAGAACCGCCCAUCUGGUCGAGUUGAGUGAGUUGUUGUGAGUGAGAGUGAGCACCACAGCCCGGCGAGGCGCAGUGUUCAGAAGAGUUGGUAUUUGAGAGUUGGUAACUCUAGACAAGGACUGGUAGGGUUGACGAGAGGACGCGGGGCAGGCAUGGGUUGCAGCCACAGCAAGGUGCGAGGCAGAAUUUGCAAGAAAACGAGGAAAAACAAAGUGAAAGAGGAAGAGAAGACUGUGAAAGAGGUCAACAACAGUCAAGAUGGAGGUAAAGUCCCUCUGGAGGAGCUGAA